RNAcentral lists this ribosomal RNA (253 nucleotides) under uncultured bacterium. RNAcentral describes it as "partial 16S ribosomal RNA". It matches the Rfam family "Bacterial small subunit ribosomal RNA", at positions 524 to 776 of the family's 1533-position model. The record is from RNAcentral.
UACGGGGGGGGUAAGCGUUGUUCGGAAUUACUGGGCGUAAAGGGCUCGUAGGUGGCCAACUAAGUCAGACGUGAAAUCCCUCGGCUUAACCGGGGAACUGCGUCUGAUACUGGAUGGCUUGAGUUCGGGAGAGGGAUGCGGAAUUCCAGGUGUAGCGGUGAAAUGCGUAGAUAUCGAGAGGAACACCUGCGGCGAAGGCGGGUUGCUGGGCUGACACUGACGCUGAUGCGCGAAAGCCAGGGGAGCGAACGGG